RNAcentral lists this ribosomal RNA (492 nucleotides) under uncultured bacterium. RNAcentral describes it as "bacterial SSU rRNA". It matches the Rfam family "Bacterial small subunit ribosomal RNA", at positions 30 to 518 of the family's 1533-position model. The record is from RNAcentral.
UGAACGCUAGCGGCAGGCUAACACAUGCAAGUCGAGGGGCAUCGGGAGUAGCAAUACUUGCCGGCGACCGGCGCAAGGGUGCGUAACGCGUGAGCAACAUGCCCGUAUCAGGGGGAUAAUCCAUGGAAACGUGGUCUAAUACCCCAUAGUAAUUAUGUAAGGCAUCUUAUAUAAUUUAAAGCUUUGGUGGAUACGGAUUGGCUCGCGUGACAUUAGCUGGAUGGUAAGGUAACGGCUUACCAUGGCUACGAUGUCUAGGGGUUCUGAGAGGAAGGUCCCCCACACUGGAACUGAGACACGGUCCAGACUCCUACGGGAGGCAGCAGUGAGGAAUAUUGGACAAUGGAUGGAAAUCUGAUCCAGCCAUGCCGCGUGCAGGAAGACGGCCCUAUGGGUUGUAAACUGCUUUUGUAUGGGAGCAAUAAGGGCUACGUGUAGUCCGAUGAGAGUACCAUACGAAUAAGCACCGGCUAACUCCGUGCCAGCCGCCGC